ACACAGGUAGCACCUCUGAGGUUGGUGGGGACCCCAAGACCACCUACCCACAGGAAGUAGGACUCCCUCCUAACCAUGUGAGCUAAGCUAUAAAGACCAGCAUGGCGCCUGGGAUUACUAUGGAUUCAAAAAACUUUGCAAAAAUAUUUUGGAGGCUGGACUCAUCACCAGGUACCCAUCAUAAGGUCUUUAUUCAUUCAAAGCCUUGAUCAACUGAGCACUAAGCAUCACCUCAUCAAAAUCACCUGGAGUGCAGUUGGAGGCUGCAGUGAGCUAUGACUACACUACUGUGCUUCAGCCU
Homo sapiens (human) is the source of this 301-nucleotide long non-coding RNA. RefSeq lists it as uncharacterized. The transcript has 3 exons. NCBI's taxonomy places the organism in Eukaryota, Metazoa, Chordata, Mammalia, Primates, Hominidae. The record is from RefSeq and is a predicted model, not a curated record.